AGAGUUUGAUCCUGGCUCAGAUUGAACGCUGGCGGCAUGCCUUACACAUGCAAGUCGAACGGCAGCACGGGGGCAACCCUGGUGGCGAGUGGCGAACGGGUGAGUAAUACAUCGGAACGUGUCCUGUAGUGGGGGAUAGCCCGGCGAAAGCCGGAUUAAUACCGCAUACGAUCUACGGAAGAAAGCGGGGGAUCUUCGGACCUCGCGCUAUAGGGGCGGCCGAUGGCAGAUUAGCUAGUUGGUGGGGUAAAGGCCUACCAAGGCGACGAUCUGUAGCUGGUCUGAGAGGACGACCAGCCACACUGGGACUGAGACACGGCCCAGACUCCUACGGGAGGCAGCAGUGGGGAAUUUUGGACAAUGGGCGCAAGCCUGAUCCAGCAAUGCCGCGUGUGUGAAGAAGGCCUUCGGGUUGUAAAGCACUUUUGUCCGGAAAGAAAAC
This 442-nucleotide ribosomal RNA is filed under the name uncultured bacterium. Its description in RNAcentral is "bacterial SSU rRNA". It matches the Rfam family "Bacterial small subunit ribosomal RNA", at positions 8 to 452 of the family's 1533-position model. The record is from RNAcentral.